GGCGGGGUAGCUCAGUCGGUUAGAGCGCAGGACUCAUAAGCCUGAGGUCAGUGGUUCGAUCCCACUUCCCGCUACCA
This 77-nucleotide transfer RNA is filed under the name bacterium. RNAcentral's name for it is "tRNA-Met". It matches the Rfam family "tRNA". Rfam says of the family: Transfer RNA (tRNA) molecules are approximately 80 nucleotides in length. Their secondary structure includes four short double-helical elements and three loops (D, anti-codon, and T loops). Further hydrogen bonds mediate the characteristic L-shaped molecular structure. tRNAs have two regions of fundamental functional importance: the anti-codon, which is responsible for specific mRNA codon recognition, and the 3' end, to which the tRNAs corresponding amino acid is attached (by aminoacyl-tRNA synthetases). tRNAs cope with the degeneracy of the genetic code in two manners: having more than one tRNA (with a specific anti-codon) for a particular amino acid; and 'wobble' base-pairing, i.e. permitting non-standard base-pairing at the 3rd anti-codon position. The record is from RNAcentral. RNAcentral also lists the same sequence under 4 other names.